AUGAAUUAUGAGUUUAAUAGAUCCUCUUUAGCAGAAAGACAUAUAUUCCUUGCUCAUUAUCAGACAAUCACUUAUUCCCAAACCUCGUGUGGGACUAAUCGUUUUCAUUUACCAUCUCAUGGAAAACCCUUUUCGUUCCGCUUAGCCCUAUUGGGUAUUUUAGUGAUAGGUUCUGUAGGAACUGGACUAUCCUAUUUGGUCAAAUAA
This 207-nucleotide ribosomal RNA is filed under the name Triticum aestivum (bread wheat). RNAcentral describes it as "partial small subunit ribosomal RNA". Lineage: Eukaryota; Viridiplantae; Streptophyta; Magnoliopsida; Poales; Poaceae. The record is from RNAcentral.